Molecule: ribosomal RNA, 120 nt
Filed under: Penicillium oxalicum 114-2
Lineage: Eukaryota; Fungi; Ascomycota; Eurotiomycetes; Eurotiales; Aspergillaceae
Also listed under: 1 other name
Source: RNAcentral
ACAUACGACCAUAGGGUGUGGAAAAUAGGGCUUCCCGUCCGCUCAGCCGUACUCAAGCCACACGCCGGUUAGUUAGUAGUAUGGUGGGUGACCACAUGCGAAUCCUGACUGUUGUAUGUU